This is a non-coding RNA of Delphinapterus leucas (beluga whale), 1521 nucleotides long. The record is from RefSeq and is a predicted model, not a curated record. Lineage: Eukaryota; Metazoa; Chordata; Mammalia; Artiodactyla; Monodontidae.
CACGAACCCGCAUCCCCUGCCUCGGCAGGCGGACUCUCAACCACUGCGCCACCAGGGAAGCCCAACAGGAUGAUUUUUAAACACAGAGUGACAUGCUGAGCGCGUGUGUGGAAUGAGUGGGACACACCUUCCAAUCCAUGGACAACACCCUGGUCUCUGAGAUCUUUGCUCGUUAUGAAUUCCUUCAGCAGCCUCCACUAGACUGAACUUUUGGAAGUGCCAGGUAUGAAUUCCACUGGCAUCUUGAGAGUCUGCAGGAUCCUCAGAAAUAAGUUAGAAGGUAUUUGAAGAGGGUUGUUUAACAAUCACAAAUUCCUCCUCUUCCUCUGUGUAUGCCCUGUGCAAUAUGCAAUGUGGCUAUCUAUCAAGAGAUAGGGUACGUUAGCUCCUCCCCUGAAACAGAGGCAUGGCCAUAUGACUUACUUGGGCUCAAGGGACAUUAGCACACGCGACACAAGUUGGCUCAAAAUGCACUUGCGUAUUGGAGCUCGGUCACGCUUGCUCCCUGAGACCUCUAGGUAAAGAAGUCUGGGCUGGUCUCCUUAAGAAUGAUACAGAACAUAUGGAGAAGGGCAGACAGACAUGUGAAGCCAUCUUACAGGAAUCAUCCCAAGCAAUCCAUCAGAUGAUUGGGAACCUCAUGAGUGACCCCAGGCUUCUUCAGCUUAAUUAGCUGCAAAGAAUGAAUUGUAUAAGUAAAAACUGAAAAGAGCUGCAGUAUCGAAGGGGCAGGAAUGGAAAGAAGAGAUAAAUGAAGAAAUGUUUAGAAAGCUGAGCUGGCAGAACUUAAAUUUGAUUGGCUGUGUGAAGUAAGGGAGAAAGAGUCAGGGUGACUUCUGGGGGUCUCGUUUGGUGAGGCGUGAGAGCCCUGACGUGGGGACACAGGAGGAGACACACCAGCGGUGGAAGGGACCUUUUCAGCCUCUGCAGAACGCUCUCAGCGCUAAUAUGGCAGAGCCAUUAGUCAUUGGCUCAGUUUGCUGGACACAUGACUGGUCAAGUUCAUCCAACUGGAACUUGCCUUCCUUGCCUUCUUAAUUCAUUGCACCAGGUGAGGAUUUUGGCUGGAGUAUGAGGAAGAGAAUCAAGCCUUGGUCAGAAAUGUGACACCAUCAAUCGCAAACUUGUUGAUUUCGAUAGAUAUACAGCCCAGAGGAAAUUUCCCAGAAGCUGUUAUCACAGCGUGCGGAGACUAAGCCUCACUUCGUGAUCGGACUGGCUGCUCUCCCUACUCGAGAGGUGAAGAUAUUUCUCCUGCUUCCAUGUGACCGUGGUCAUUGACACGAUGGAAUAAGCAGUUGGCUUAAUGAUGUCACUUAAUGGGCUGUGGAUUUUUUAAUGCAGGCAGUUCUUCGUGUAAAUACUAGUCAGGAAAGAGGUUUUCCUUUCUUUUCUUUCUUUUCUUUCUUUUUUUUUUAAUCUUCAAGAGAAGCUGUUUUAAUUAAACAAAGGGCAGGAAGUUCCUUCCUGAAUGGUUAAAGCCCUCUUGAUUAUACUAGCAAUGUGCUGAUUACAAACUGC